RNAcentral lists this unclassified non-coding RNA (647 nucleotides) under Hevea brasiliensis (rubber tree). The record is from RNAcentral. Lineage: Eukaryota; Viridiplantae; Streptophyta; Magnoliopsida; Malpighiales; Euphorbiaceae.
GGAUGACCCAAGUCUUAAUGAUAAAACACCCCGAAGCAUGGAUGGUGGUGCUAGGGUUGAAACAGGAAUUUUCCACAAUUGUGGAAGACAAAAUCCGUGUCUGCCUUGUCUUGCUUGUGUUGCCUCUUCGGAUGAAAAGAAAAAGUCUCUAAACCCGAUCUCACCACGCAGCCGGAAAAAAUCAUCCCUAACCCAGAUGUUAUCUUUUAAAUGGAGAGAAACAAAUUCAAGUUCUGCAUUAUUGUCACCAAAGACUGUUCUGCAAAGACCAAUAGCUGGUUCUCAAAUUCCUUGUAGCCCGUUGGGACGGAAAAUGGCUAACUGCUGGUCAUCCGUUGAGCCAAAUACUUUCAAGAUCCGUGGUAAAAAUUUCUUCAGGGAUAAGAAGAAAGACUUUGCUUUAAAUUGUGCUGCAUUUUAUCCUUUUGGUGCUGAUUUAUUCUUAUCACCACGGAAAAUUGAUCAUAUUGCACGUUUUGUGGAACUUCCAGCCAUCGAUUCAUCCAGUGAAGUUCCAUCCAUUCUUGUUGUAAAUCUUCAGAUACCAUUGUACCCUCCUGCAAUCUUCCAAAAUGAAUAUGAUGGAGAAGGGAUGAAUUUUGUUCUCUACUUCAAACUUUCAGAAAAUUACUCCACGGAAAUGCCAG